CAGUAGCCGCGGUAAUACGUAGGGUGCAAGCGUUAAUCGGAAUUACUGGGCGUAAAGCGUGCGCAGGCGGUGUUGUAAGACUGAUGUGAAAUCCCCGGGCUCAACCUGGGAACUGCAUUGGUGACUGCAACGCUGGAGUGCGGCAGAGGGGGAUGGAAUUCCGCGUGUAGCAGUGAAAUGCGUAGAUAUGCGGAGGAACACCGAUGGCGAAGGCAAUCCCCUGGGCCUGCACUGACGCUCAUGCACGAAAGCGUGGGGAGCAAACAGGAUUAGAUACCCCCGUAGUCCCUGUCUCUUAUAC
RNAcentral lists this ribosomal RNA (301 nucleotides) under uncultured bacterium. Its description in RNAcentral is "partial 16S ribosomal RNA". It matches the Rfam family "Bacterial small subunit ribosomal RNA", at positions 509 to 807 of the family's 1533-position model. The record is from RNAcentral.